CGGGUUAGGGCACGCCACGGAAAUGGAGCAAGAGGCCAAGAGGCAGGGUAAGGCAGGUGGCGCAGGUCUGUGUUAGAAUGGCCGCUGCGGAGCGCUGGAGGAGUCGAGGAGAGGGGGAAGCGGCGGCGACGGUGGUGCCCCUGGGCGAGACUAGGGCAGUCAACAUCUUCAUUGACUAAUCGGACUACCGAUACCAGCUACUCGGAGAGAUAGGUUAACGGCACGACUAUCUACUCGAAUUUUUACUUCUAUAAGUUAACGCGGACUUGAGGUAGUCUUCUGAAAGGUGAUAACGUGCCCGUGAACCUCUUCUUUCUUGGUCCUUCCUUGACUAAGGAAAGGAGUCGCUUUUGUUACUACUACUUCUACUCCACGAAGAACGUUACCGACUUCUUAACCCACACAAGUAAGGAAUACAACCCCCACAUCUCGUACGAGUACAAAACGAGGGUGGGACACAGGCUCUGUUUCGUCAACUCAGCAACACGGCAUAACCACGUGUCUACUUUCUUUUACUGUAACAACUGAUAAAGUAACGUCAUCAUUUCUCCGAUCGCCGACCACUCACCAAAUGUCGAGCUCAUAGUAGGACACCAGAAAAGGUAUAUCGGAUAGGUUCACGGUGGCUAGGCAACUUUUGUCUUGACUCCUGAUAAAUACCGGUCAAUACGGUUCUACUGUACGGAUACCAGUCUUCCCGUCGACGUAGUUUAGAACCCUUCAAACGACGGUGACAACUUGUCUCGGUAAACUUCUGUCUUUAGUACAGCUAGAAACUACUAGAAUGGGUUCUACUAGUUCUAAGUCAUGCAAAUAACCGUCAACUUCCGACACGACGAGAACCUUUUAACAAUCUUGGGGUUCUAACACAUCGGGUAUAGGAAGGUCAGUAACAAUUAAAGAGGGUCCUAUUUAGAACCGCACAGGCAAUAUACCAACGUUUGGUCAACAUACUCGAGACGCUCCGUCAACCGGGACUCGGAUGUUCUCGCCUGGACCACGGACGUAUACAAGCGGAGGAGGCACUAUUACUCCGACUUCACGCCUAUCGUCGACGGCCUUUUCAAUGAUUCAAGACAUCCUAUAAUUCAGGUGUCGAACGUUAAGUCGUGUAAGACGGUACGCAGUUCCUUAACAGUAGUCUAAGCAGAGUCGUACAAGCGAGUCGAAACCGAAGUCAGUAGUACCCUUACCGGGGACAGAACCCCUUCCUACGAUGGUAACUUGUUGAAGAAGGAUAAAAAGAAAGAAACGACUUCCUACUUAAAGGACUACAAGCUGAGUUGUAUUAGUCGUUCGAACUAGUUCAAUUAGUCCAGUAACCUUAACUGAACGACAGCGUUAGAGAUAACGGCCGAUAACAUCUUGAACGCCUCCUAUCCGUGACCUCCCAAGCAGAACGUUAGUAACUCAUGUAGGGAGACGACCGAUCAGUCAAUCCACAACCCAAAAAACUACUGUUCGACCCCCGUGAAACGUACGUUACCAACCUUCUAUUCCAAAAGAGCUAGUCUCUUCGACGGCGUUUGUUGAACUUCGCGGACCGCCUCCUCAAACCAGGUCUCACCCGUUACGUUGUAUAUUAAGGAGUCCACAACCUCUUCUAUUUGUUGGGUGUAAUAGACAUAGCGUACUGGUAGGACGUUCGAUAGAGUAACGAUCGGGGACAAUACCCACGUCUUUAUUGUACGGUUUUCGACGAGGGACAGCAGUAAUUAAGGAGCUUCCUGUCUCACGGCUUGUAGUUCAAGUUACAACGCUUUCAAGACGUCAGCGAACAUGGUUAGGAACUAGUUAGACAGCGACUCUUCUGACACUUCGGAACGGAGCAACUCGACUCGCUCCUGGGACUACACCUACAUGCUAUGAUACGUUUGGUCCGGGAAGUCCGUACACUGGUCUAGUACUACAGAUCGAUUGAUUCGAUGACAGCAGUGCAAGAAAUCUUCGAUAAGAAUCAGGUCGAACCUCAUGUACAUUAAAUGGGAAUUCUCAGCCUCUCAAGCAAGAUCGGGUCAUUAAAUGGAUAUGAAGGUACGACUAUUACCUACCCGAGACAAGGGGAAAACAACAAUAAUUACAACAUAUUAACUCGUUGCUCUGUGCAACAAAGCUACCACACGAAUUUAACUAUCAAACUUGAACUAAAGCCAGUAAGGUACACAACCCACACUAAAAUGACUUACGUUGGUAACAGGCAACAAAGA
Molecule: ribosomal RNA, 2207 nt
Filed under: Triticum aestivum (bread wheat)
Lineage: Eukaryota; Viridiplantae; Streptophyta; Magnoliopsida; Poales; Poaceae
Description: partial small subunit ribosomal RNA
Source: RNAcentral